UUGGAGGGCAAGUCUGGUGCCAGCAGCCGCGGUAAUUCCAGCUCCAAUAGCGUAUAUUAAUGUUGUUGCAGUUAAAAAGCUCGUAGUUGAAUUUCGGGAUCAAUAUAUCGGUCGUGCCUUUGGUACGUACUGGUAUCAUUGAUUUCUCCUUUCUGACGAAUCAUGAUGUCAUUAAUUUGGUGUUAUGAGGAGUUAGGACUGUUACUUUGAAAAAAUUAGAGUGUUUAAAGCAGGCAUUAGCUUGAAUACAUUAGCAUGGAAUAAUGAAAUAGGACGUUUGACCCUAUUUUGUUGGUUUUUAGGAUCGACGUAAUGAUUAAUAGGGAUAGUUGGGGGCAUUAGUAUUCAAUUGUCAGAGGUGAAAUUCUUGGAUUUAUUGAAGACUAACUACUGCGAAAGCAUUUGCCAAGGAUGUUUUCAUUAAUCAAGAACGAAAGUUAGGGGAUCGAAGACGAUCAGAUACCGUCGUAGUCUUAACCAUAAACUAUGCCGACUAGGGAUCGGAUGAUGUUAAUUUUAUAAUGACUCAUUCGGCGCCUUACGGGAAAC
RNAcentral lists this ribosomal RNA (549 nucleotides) under uncultured Glomeromycotina. Its description in RNAcentral is "SSU rRNA". It matches the Rfam family "Eukaryotic small subunit ribosomal RNA", at positions 548 to 1098 of the family's 1831-position model. Lineage: Eukaryota; Fungi; Glomeromycota. The record is from RNAcentral.